UGAUGUUGGAAUCUCUCUUGCAGCAAUUCUCUUCGAAUUCUUUGCUUGGCUUCAGCUUGUACACCUGCAGGGACGGAGAGCUCACUACCUCCCUGGGGAUCUAGCUCUGGCUGCAUCAGUAUGAAAACACUCCCUCAAGUUUGUGGAGUGCUUAAUAAGUCUUCAAGACUCAGAGUGGUUUCCUGGGAAACAGAGCAGCUUGCUCAGCCCCCAGGGACAUGGUGUGGUCUGGAUUACAAGUGAAGAAAUUUAGAAAGAGCCAAAAACCUCACGUUUUGUUGCCACGGGAGAGAGGACAUGUUGUGGACCCACAAGCAGAGGCUUAUUGUGCUGGAUCUUCCCUACCAGAUGAGACCGAAAUCAAAGGCCUGAAAUUGCAACUGGAAACAUUUCUUCCAACAACUCGAGGGAAGAAAUCGUGACAGCUUAAACUACGGUUACAGGAUGGGAGAAGCAGGCAAGAUGAAGGCUCUGAAAAGACUUCGUGGCAGUUGUUUCUGGAUUUCAGAGUGUGCUUUUGGAUUGUCGUCGCCACAGGCCCCUUUGAUAACGGUAGAUGAGACAUACUCC
This is a non-coding RNA of Peromyscus maniculatus bairdii (prairie deer mouse), 570 nucleotides long. NCBI's taxonomy places the organism in Eukaryota, Metazoa, Chordata, Mammalia, Rodentia, Cricetidae. The record is from RefSeq and is a predicted model, not a curated record.